RNAcentral lists this non-coding RNA (28 nucleotides) under Bombyx mori (domestic silkworm). The record is from RNAcentral. Lineage: Eukaryota; Metazoa; Arthropoda; Insecta; Lepidoptera; Bombycidae.
AAGGUUUUGCUUUAUCCCCAGGAUGGAC